AACGCACCUUGCGCUCUGUGGUUAUUCCGCAGAGCAUGUUUGUUUGAGUGUCGCGAUACUUCUCAACCCCGCUUUAUUAAUUUAAAGUAGUUUGGGCUUGGAUCAUGAUUGUUGCCGGCUUAAUUGCCAGGCUCGAUUGAAAUACAACAAGCUGGAUGAUGCUAUUAGCGGCUUGAACCUAACGUUGUAAUUACUAUUCGUUAGGCUACGCUUUCAGUAACAAUGAGCUUACCAAUUCAUUAAGAACUUUAUUGUUCAAUUUGACCUCAAAUCAAGCAGGACUACCCGCUGAACUUAA
This 298-nucleotide unclassified non-coding RNA is filed under the name uncultured Xanthoporus. RNAcentral describes it as "partial contains 5.8S ribosomal RNA, internal transcribed spacer 2, and large subunit ribosomal RNA". Lineage: Eukaryota; Fungi; Basidiomycota; Agaricomycetes; Polyporales; Steccherinaceae. The record is from RNAcentral.